GAUGAACGCUGGCGGCGUGCCUAAUACAUGCAAGUCGAGCGAACGGACGAGAAGCUUGCUUUUCUGAUGUUAGCGGCGGACGGGUGAGUAACACGUGGAUAACCUACCUAUAAGACUGGGAUAACUUCGGGAAACCGGAGCUAAUACCGGAUAAUAUUUUGAACCGCAUGGUUCAAAAGUGAAAGACGGUCUUGCUGUCACUUAUAGAUGGAUCCGCGCUGCAUUAGCUAGUUGGUAAGGUAACGGCUUACCAAGGCAACGAUGCAUAGCCGACCUGAGAGGGUGAUCGGCCACACUGGAACUGAGACACGGUCCAGACUCCUACGGGAGGCAGCAGUAGGGAAUCUUCCGCAAUGGGCGAAAGCCUGACGGAGCAACGCCGCGUGAGUGAUGAAGGUCUUCGGAUCGUAAAACUCUGUUAUUAGGGAAGAACAUAUGUGUAAGUAACUGUGCACAUCUUGACGGUACCUAAUCAGAAAGCCACGGCUAACUACGUGCCAGCAGCCGCGGUAAUACGUAGGUGGCAAGCGUUAUCCGGAAUUAUUGGGCGUAAAGCGCGCGUAGGCGGUUUUUUAAGUCUGAUGUGAAAGCCCACGGCUCAACCGUGGAGGGUCAUUGGAAACUGGAAAACUUGAGUGCAGAAGAGGAAAGUGGAAUUCCAUGUGUAGCGGUGAAAUGCGCAGAGAUGUGGAGGAACACCAGUGGCGAAGGCGACUUUCUGGUCUGUAACUGACGCUGAUGUGCGAAAGCGUGGGGAUCAAACAGGAUUAGAUACCCUGGUAGUCCACGCCGUAAACGAUGAGUGCUAAGUGUUAGGGGGUUUCCGCCCCUUAGUGCUGCAGCUAACGCAUUAAGCACUCCGCCUGGGGAGUACGACCGCAAGGUUGAAACUCAAAGGAAUUGACGGGGGCCCGCACAAGCGGUGGAGCAUGUGGUUUAAUUCGAAGCAACGCGAAGAACCUUACCAAAUCUUGACAUCCUUUGACAACUCUAGAGAUAGAGCCUUCCCCUUCGGGGGACAAAGUGACAGGUGGUGCAUGGUUGUCGUCAGCUCGUGUCGUGAGAUGUUGGGUUAAGUCCCGCAACGAGCGCAACCCUUAAGCUUAGUUGCCAUCAUUAAGUUGGGCACUCUAAGUUGACUGCCGGUGACAAACCGGAGGAAGGUGGGGAUGACGUCAAAUCAUCAUGCCCCUUAUGAUUUGGGCUACACACGUGCUACAAUGGACAGUACAAAGGGCAGCGAAACCGCGAGGUCAAGCAAAUCCCAUAAAGUUGUUCUCAGUUCGGAUUGUAGUCUGCAACUCGACUACAUGAAGCUGGAAUCGCUAGUAAUCGUAGAUCAGCAUGCUACGGUGAAUACGUUCCCGGGUCU
RNAcentral lists this ribosomal RNA (1372 nucleotides) under uncultured bacterium. RNAcentral describes it as "bacterial SSU rRNA". It matches the Rfam family "Bacterial small subunit ribosomal RNA", at positions 28 to 1381 of the family's 1533-position model. The record is from RNAcentral.